This 1795-nucleotide long non-coding RNA is filed under the name Mus musculus (house mouse). Its description in RNAcentral is "predicted gene, 36426". Lineage: Eukaryota; Metazoa; Chordata; Mammalia; Rodentia; Muridae. The record is from RNAcentral.
AGAAACUUUCUAUCCCCAGGCCCUCACCUGCUGCUCAGCCCCAGGACUCGGCAAGCAGAAAUUAGGCUUCGGUUGAAAUAUCUGGUCUUAAAUACUUGUUGCCACUUCUGCUGCUGUGCAGCUUUGUUCUCUCUUGGGCAAGUUCAUCUGGUUCAUUCCUAGGAUCUGCCGUCCUUGAGAACGAGAAGUUUUGGAAUCAAAACCCACUGGUGGGCUGGGAUUUCUUGAGUGGUAAGGAACAGAAAUUCAGACUUGAGGGAGCAUUUGACAGAAUCCAGGUCACCCUGCCUGGAAGAGAAAGUACCUACUAGGACCUGCCUUCCACCCCAAGGUAAAUCAAGAAUCACGUGGUACAGGCUCAUGGAAGAACUGGACAGUUUCUGUUUGAUCAGUGGAAGGCAGAGAAAGAAGAGCUGGGCUAGGGAGCCCUGAGGAACUGUGAGUACCAGGAGCUGAAAGUUUGCAGACUUGAUGUCCAUGGAUUGCAGAUGGCAACUGACUUUGUUUGCUUCAGUGAGACCUUUCCAGUGACCACAACCCCAUGUUAUUUCUCUGAUACAAGGUCCCAGUGACAGCAGCAAGAGACUGGUGCCAACGAACAGCACCUCUCUCUCUCUCUCUCUCUCUCUCUCUCUCUCCCUCCCUCUCUCUCUCUCUCCCUCUCUCUCUCUCUCUCUGCCUAUCAAGAGGAAGGUCGUGGAGAGACAGGCUUUUAGUGCCCAUGACGACAGAUAACAGGCACAGCCUCUUGGGUCCCGGACUGGAUGCAAAGUCACUUCAUGAUCAAGCUCACCAUGACGAUGAGUCUGUGUUUGACCAGACUUGUUAUCCUGACAGCUUUGGCUUUGUCCUCAUGAGAACUCAGCCAAGCCAUGAGUGGUGACCACAGAUAGACUUAAGAGCCCAGUCAUGGACUCUUUUCCCUCCCUAUUACCUAAUUUCCAACUCCCCUCUGGCAUCCUUUUGACAUUUUUCUGGUUUGGACCCAAUCCGUGGGCUUCACCCAUCAGAUUCUAAAUCAGCUGUGGCUAGUGCCACAAUAAGAAAUGACCAACCACGUGACCUUCACCCCAGAGUGUCGGCCAUGGUCUUCAUCACCCCAAUAUCUGCUUCACACCACAGGGAAACUCCUCCACAUAUGAUCCCUUCACACGAGGUCUUGAGAACAGUCACUGCAGGACCCCUGAGAAGGAACUGAAGGAGUCCAGGUCUUCCACCAGGACCAGUGCCACAGACAGGCAGUGGGAGGAGGAUGCUCUCACAGCUGAGGCUUGGUGACCCUUGUUUGGACUUUAUGACGAAUCUAUCAUGUUUUCAGAGAUCAUUGCUAAGGACGAUCUAUAAAGAUGUCUGAGGAGAUAACCAUUGAGUGAAGUAUCUGCCUCACAAGUGUGAGGUCCCAAGGUUUCUGAGGAAAGGUAAAGAAUUGUUUCCCUGGUAAAAUUGCCAAACCCAGAACAGUAUGUGGAGAAAACCCAGAGGACCAGGAAAAAUGUGCAUGCUAUCCAGGAGGUGGGAGCCGAUCCCAAAUCAUCCUGGAAGCCUACGGACUUCUGUCAUCAGCAAUAUGUUCUCUCGGGCAAAUGAGAGAAAUUCGCAAGACUCUUUGUUCAACUUAACACAAUUUGUAUCUAAGUUUGCUGGAGCCUUUCCGUAGUUCCCUACCUAGUUUACUUCAUAAAGUGAAAUCCUACCCAACAAAGAGGCAGGCUUACAGAAACAAAGAGAUAAGACUGUUUGGUCAGAGAGAUAAAAUCUGAAACCGGGCUCCACUCCACUGCAGUCCUUAGUAAUG